Molecule: transfer RNA, 73 nt
Filed under: Nanobdellota archaeon
Lineage: Archaea; Nanobdellati; Nanobdellota
Also listed under: 2 other names
Description: tRNA-Trp
Rfam family: tRNA
About the family: Transfer RNA (tRNA) molecules are approximately 80 nucleotides in length. Their secondary structure includes four short double-helical elements and three loops (D, anti-codon, and T loops).
Source: RNAcentral
GGGGCCGUGAGGUAGCCAGGUAGCCUGGCGGGCUCCAGACCCGCUCGCGGGAGUUCAAAUCUCCCCGGCCCCA